GACGAAGGGGGCUAGCGUUGUUCGGAAUUACUGGGCGUAAAGCGCGUGUAGGCGGUUGCCAUAGUCAGGUGUGAAAGCCUUGAGCUUAACUCAAGAAAUGCACUUGAUACUGGGCGACUAGAGGACCGGAGAGGAUAGUGGAAUUCCCAGUGUAGUGGUGAAAUACGUAGAGAUUGGGAAGAACACCAGUGGCGAAGGCGGCUAUCUGGACGGUUACUGACGCUAGGACGCGAAAGCGUGGGGAGCAAACAGG
This 253-nucleotide ribosomal RNA is filed under the name uncultured bacterium. RNAcentral's name for it is "partial 16S ribosomal RNA". It matches the Rfam family "Bacterial small subunit ribosomal RNA", at positions 524 to 776 of the family's 1533-position model. The record is from RNAcentral.